RNAcentral lists this long non-coding RNA (250 nucleotides) under Elaeis guineensis (African oil palm). Its description in RNAcentral is "long non-coding RNA (EGUI_LNC041263)". Lineage: Eukaryota; Viridiplantae; Streptophyta; Magnoliopsida; Arecales; Arecaceae. The record is from RNAcentral.
CAGGAUGACAUACAAUGAAUGGGCUGCACAUCUAAGCAAAAGAAGCUAGCUACAACAUUUUAAAAUCAUUAUCUCAUAUUUCCUUUCCUUGUUCAAUGUAUACUUGGGUUUUAUAUGAUUGAUGGUUACCUGAUUCUCCUGUAUUCCUGUUAUGUUGCUAUGUGCCUCUAUGUUUCUAUCGUAUUUCUAUAUUGUUACCUGUUUCUUAGUUUCUAUUGGUGUAACAUCUCUAGGUGUUCAGGUUGUUGUU